This 301-nucleotide ribosomal RNA is filed under the name uncultured bacterium. RNAcentral describes it as "partial 16S ribosomal RNA". It matches the Rfam family "Bacterial small subunit ribosomal RNA", at positions 509 to 807 of the family's 1533-position model. The record is from RNAcentral.
CAGUAGCCGCGGUAAUACGUAGGUGGCAAGCGUUGUCCGGAAUUAUUGGGCGUAAAGCGCGCGCAGGCGGUCUUUUAAGUCUGAUGUGAAAGCCCACGGCUCAACCGUGGAGGGUCAUUGGAAACUGGAGGACUUGAGUGCAGAAGAGGAGAGUGGAAUUCCACGUGUAGCGGUGAAAUGCGUAGAUAUGUGGAGGAACACCAGUGGCGAAGGCGGCUCUCUGGUCUGUAACUGACGCUGAGGCGCGAAAGCGUGGGGAGCAAACAGGAUUAGAUACCCCAGUAGUCCCUGUCUCUUAUAC